AUUGAACGCUGGCGGCAGGCCUAACACAUGCAAGUCGAACGGUAACAGGAAGAAGCUUGCUUCUUUGCUGACGAGUGGCGGACGGGUGAGUAAUGUCUGGGAAACUGCCUGAUGGAGGGGGAUAACUACUGGAAACGGUAGCUAAUACCGCAUAACGUCGCAAGACCAAAGAGGGGGACCUUCGGGCCUCUUGCCAUCGGAUGUGCCCGGAUGGGAUUAGCUAGUAGGUGGGGUAACGGCUCACCUAGGCGACGAUCCCUAGCUGGUCUGAGAGGAUGACCAGCCACACUGGAACUGAGACACGGUCCAGACUCCUACGGGAGGCAGCAGUGGGGAAUAUUGCACAAUGGGCGCAAGCCUGAUGCAGCCAUGCCGCGUGUAUGAAGAAGGCCUUCGGGUUGUAAAGUACUUUCAGCGGGGAGGAAGGGAGUAAAGUUAAUACCUUUGCUCAUUGACGUUACCCGCAGAGGAAGCACCGGCUAACUCCGUG
RNAcentral lists this ribosomal RNA (490 nucleotides) under uncultured bacterium. RNAcentral's name for it is "partial 16S ribosomal RNA". It matches the Rfam family "Bacterial small subunit ribosomal RNA", at positions 30 to 507 of the family's 1533-position model. The record is from RNAcentral.